AACGCGAAAAACCUUACCCACCUUUGACAUGUACGGAAUCCUUUAGAGAUAGAGGAGUGCUCGAAAGAGAGCCGUAACACAGGUGCUGCAUGGCUGUCGUCAGCUCGUGUCGUGAGAUGUUGGGUUAAGUCCCGCAACGAGCGCAACCCUUGCCAUUAGUUGCUACGAAAGGGCACUCUAAUGGGACUGCCGGUGACAAACCGGAGGAAGGUGGGGAUGACGUCAAGUCCUCAUGGCCCUUAUAGGUGGGGCUACACACGUCAUACAAUGGCUGGUACAAAGGGUUGCCAACCCGCGAGGGGGAGCUAAUCCCAUAAAGCCAGUCGUAGUCCGGAUCGCAGUCUGCAACUCGACUGCGUGAAGUCGGAAUCGCUAGUAAUCGGGAUCAGCAUGUCACGG
Molecule: ribosomal RNA, 399 nt
Filed under: Pseudacidovorax sp. CA21
Lineage: Bacteria; Pseudomonadati; Pseudomonadota; Betaproteobacteria; Burkholderiales; Comamonadaceae
Description: bacterial SSU rRNA
Rfam family: Bacterial small subunit ribosomal RNA
Source: RNAcentral